RNAcentral lists this ribosomal RNA (750 nucleotides) under Salmonella enterica. RNAcentral's name for it is "partial 23S ribosomal RNA". It matches the Rfam family "Bacterial large subunit ribosomal RNA", at positions 2071 to 2820 of the family's 2925-position model. Lineage: Bacteria; Pseudomonadati; Pseudomonadota; Gammaproteobacteria; Enterobacterales; Enterobacteriaceae. The record is from RNAcentral.
CGCGGCAAGACGGAAAGACCCCGUGAACCUUUACUAUAGCUUGACACUGAACAUUGAGCCUUGAUGUGUAGGAUAGGUGGGAGGCUUUGAAGUGUGGACGCCAGUCUGCAUGGAGCCGACCUUGAAAUACCACCCUUUAAUGUUUGAUGUUCUAACGUGGACCCGUAAUCCGGGUUGCGGACAGUGUCUGGUGGGUAGUUUGACUGGGGCGGUCUCCUCCUAAAGAGUAACGGAGGAGCACGAAGGUUGGCUAAUCCUGGUCGGACAUCAGGAGGUUAGUGCAAUGGCAUAAGCCAGCUUGACUGCGAGCGUGACGGCGCGAGCAGGUGCGAAAGCAGGUCAUAGUGAUCCGGUGGUUCUGAAUGGAAGGGCCAUCGCUCAACGGAUAAAAGGUACUCCGGGGAUAACAGGCUGAUACCGCCCAAGAGUUCAUAUCGACGGCGGUGUUUGGCACCUCGAUGUCGGCUCAUCACAUCCUGGGGCUGAAGUAGGUCCCAAGGGUAUGGCUGUUCGCCAUUUAAAGUGGUACGCGAGCUGGGUUUAGAACGUCGUGAGACAGUUCGGUCCCUAUCUGCCGUGGGCGCUGGAGAACUGAGGGGGGCUGCUCCUAGUACGAGAGGACCGGAGUGGACGCAUCACUGGUGUUCGGGUUGUCAUGCCAAUGGCACUGCCCGGUAGCUAAAUGCGGAAGAGAUAAGUGCUGAAAGCAUCUAAGCACGAAACUUGCCCCGAGAUGAGUUCUCCCUGAGA